GGGGCGUUAGCUCAGUUGGUAGAGCAGCAGCCUUUUAAGCUGAUGGUCGUGGGUUCGAUCCCCGCACGCCCCACCA
This 76-nucleotide transfer RNA is filed under the name Candidatus Buchananbacteria bacterium RIFCSPHIGHO2_02_FULL_45_11b. RNAcentral describes it as "tRNA-Lys". It matches the Rfam family "tRNA". From Rfam's summary of the family: Transfer RNA (tRNA) molecules are approximately 80 nucleotides in length. Their secondary structure includes four short double-helical elements and three loops (D, anti-codon, and T loops). Lineage: Bacteria; Candidatus Buchananiibacteriota. The record is from RNAcentral. RNAcentral also lists the same sequence under 2 other names.